GUUCGGAUUGCAGUAUGCAACUCGAGUGCAUGAAGCUGGAAUCGCUAGUAAUCGCGGAUCAGAAUGCCGCGGUGAAUACGUUCCCGGGUCUUGUACACACCGCCCGUCACACCAUGGGAGUCGGGAAUGCCCGAAGCCGGUGGCCCAAUCGAAAGAAGGGAGCCGUCGAAGGCAGGCCGGAUGACUGGGGUGAAGUCGUAACAAGGUACC
Molecule: ribosomal RNA, 210 nt
Filed under: uncultured bacterium
Lineage: Bacteria
Description: partial 16S ribosomal RNA
Rfam family: Bacterial small subunit ribosomal RNA
Source: RNAcentral